RNAcentral lists this ribosomal RNA (433 nucleotides) under uncultured bacterium. RNAcentral's name for it is "partial 16S ribosomal RNA". It matches the Rfam family "Bacterial small subunit ribosomal RNA", at positions 28 to 507 of the family's 1533-position model. The record is from RNAcentral.
GACGAACGCUGGCGGCAGGCCUAACACAUGCAAGUCGAGCGGACCCUUCGGGGUUAGCGGCGGACGGGUGAGUAACGCGUGGGAAUAUGCCCUUCUCUACGGAAUAGUCCUGGGAAACUGGGGGUAAUACCGUAUACGCCCUUUGGGGGAAAGAUUUAUCGGGGAAGGAUUAGCCCGCGUUGGAUUAGGUAGUUGGUGGGGUAAUGGCCUACCAAGCCGACGAUCCAUAGCUGGUUUGAGAGGAUGAUCAGCCACACUGGGACUGAGACACGGCCCAGACUCCUACGGGAGGCAGCAGUGGGGAAUCUUAGACAAUGGGGGCAACCCUGAUCUAGCCAUGCCGCGUGAGUGAUGAAGGCCUUAGGGUUGUAAAGCUCUUUCAGCUGGGAAGAUAAUGACGGUACCAGCAGAAGAAGCCCCGGCUAACUCCGUG